This is a non-coding RNA of Microcebus murinus (gray mouse lemur), 649 nucleotides long. NCBI's taxonomy places the organism in Eukaryota, Metazoa, Chordata, Mammalia, Primates, Cheirogaleidae. The record is from RefSeq and is a predicted model, not a curated record.
AUGGGGCAGGAGAGAGGGAGUCCCAACAGCAAGGCUGGGGAAGGUUCAUGGAAGGUGGCAUUCGGCACGGUUCUGGAAAAACACAGACAACAGGGCCAAAUAGAAAGCCCCAGCCAUCACCUCUCCAGACAAAACACCUAAUUCAACAACUACCACGAAAUCAAACACUCUCAGAAGAACCAAAAAUCAGGUCACCACGGUGGUGCCACCAGGAGUCUGCAAGAGUCACAGCAUCACUGGGCUUGGAGCACCUCCCGUGCCGAUUCGACUGCAGCGACCAAAGACUGUGACCACGACACUCGAUUCCCUCUGAGUAUCCGGAAGGGCAGGUUCAGUGGACAAGUAGCCAAGCUUUCGGCAACAACCUCACCAAACUAAGGCACCAGUGACCAAUCCCAGGGCGAUGGAGCUAGAUAGCCUUGCAGACGAGGAAUUCAAAACAAACAUCCUGAAGCUCAAUGAACUUAAAGACAACACGCAGAAGGAAUUCAGAAGCCUAUAGAUAAAUUUAACAAAGAGAUUGAAAUAAUAAUAAAAAAAAAAUCAAGCAGAAAUUCUAGAAUUAGCAUUCUACAACUGAGCUAGGAAGGAUGCUAAUGUGAACUAAAAUGCUCACCCCCACCCCACCGGCUGACUGACUGAAUGGACC